Molecule: ribosomal RNA, 507 nt
Filed under: uncultured Cytophaga sp.
Lineage: Bacteria; Pseudomonadati; Bacteroidota; Cytophagia; Cytophagales; Cytophagaceae
Description: bacterial SSU rRNA
Rfam family: Bacterial small subunit ribosomal RNA
Source: RNAcentral
AAAGGGGAAUUAACACUCCAUAAGAUCAUGGUCUGGCAUCAGAUAGUGAUUAAAACCACGGUGGUACAGGAUGAGCAUGCGCAUGAUUAGUUAGUUGGCGGGGUAACGGCCCACCAAGACGAUGAUCAUUAGGGGAACUGAGAGGUUGAUCCCCCACACUGGCACUGAGAUACGGGCCAGACUCCUACGGGAGGCAGCAGUAGGGAAUAUUGGACAAUGGGUGCGAGCCUGAUCCAGCCAUGCCGCGUGCAGGAAGACGGCCUUCUGGGUUGUAAACUGCUUUUGCCAGGGGAUAAAACGUUCCUGCGGGGAUAAUUGAAGGUACCUGGUGAAUAAGCCACGGCUAACUACGUGCCAGCAGCCGCGGUAAUACGUAGGUGGCAAGCGUUGUCCGGAUUUAUUGGGUUUAAAGGGUGCGUAGGUGGUUCCAUAAGUCAGUGGCGAAAUACGGCAGCUUAACUGUCGAGGUGCCAUUGAUACUGCGGGACUUGAGUACAGACGAGGUAG